UCUGACAAGGGUACCCCUAAGGUGAGAGAGGUAUUGUGGUUGUGUGGUAGUAUAUGGUACAGUCAUCUUCUUCCACACUGGGGUGGCGUAAGCGCCCCCGCCCAGGUCAUGGACCAUUUUUGUGUUGUUAGUGCUAUCUCGCAGGCAGAGUAUCUCGUAAGAAGAGAUUUGCUGUUGAGAAGCAUGACAGCGUGUGGGGGACUGAUGUGCUGAUGACUAAAAGAUUUGGACCACCAGCUCCAAGGUUAUUUUGUUUCUGUUUCAGGCCCUAGGAGUAGGAAAAGUCAUGUUAAGAAUGGCAACCCUUAACUAUAGGUUAGAAUUGUUUGUUAAUGCCACCUUAGUCAGCAUGGAUGGCCUUAAUGAUGAGGUCUCGCAGAUUCGGCUGAUGGUGCUGAAAAAUAGAUUAGUGUUAGACUCACUGCUGCUAGUGGGGGAGUUUUGUGACUGAUAUCUGUUGUAUUUGGAUAUUGGAUUAUAUUCAUAGUGUCUCUGUGACUGAAGCCUUACAGCAAAUGAAGGUUGUUAUGUGAUGCUUUAUUACAAGACAAAGUGGUUAAUGUUCCGUGGUGAAAUCUGGUUGCUUGGUUUACAUCUGGUGCAUGGUGGUAAAUGAUGUUGGAAAGUCUGUUCUCUAUUGUAGCAAUUUGUAUACUUUUUGUAUUUUAUGAUGUGUAUUUCUACAUGUUUCUAAGUUCUCAUGUCUAGUCUUGUAUGUACUUCUGUAUGGAGUGUACUGUUGUCUGGAACCAUCAAGAUGAUGAUGCUUUAGUUUAAUGAUUUUUAUACUAGUGUUAUUUUCAUGAUAAACAGGAGGGAAAUGUUAAAGAAAGUAUUAGUAUAUUUUAUCAUGAAUGUCUUUUUGUUUUAAGGUUUCUUCCAAAAUGCUGUGUGCCCUGCUUCUCCAUGUAGAUUGGACUUUGGAAGACAAUUAGCAGAGUCAAGAAUGUUAACCCAGAAACCUAACGUAUAUGUUUACAUAAGAUAAGAAGGAGAGAGCGGGUUGUGAAAUGUCUCGUUGCUAAGC
Clupea harengus (Atlantic herring) is the source of this 1027-nucleotide long non-coding RNA. The record is from Ensembl. NCBI's taxonomy places the organism in Eukaryota, Metazoa, Chordata, Actinopteri, Clupeiformes, Clupeidae.